AACGAACGCUGGCGGCAUGCCUAACACAUGCAAGUCGAACGAGACCUUCGGGUCUAGUGGCGCACGGGUGCGUAACGCGUGGGAACCUGCCCUUAGGUUCGGAAUAACUCCCCGAAAGGGGUGCUAAUACCGGAUAAUGUCUUCGGACCAAAAAUUUAUCGCCUUUGGAUGGGCCCGCGUUGGAUUAGCUAGUUGGUAGGGUAAAAGCCUGCCAAGGCGACGAUCCAUAGCUGGUCUGAGAGGAUGAUCAGCCACACUGGGACUGAGACACGGCCCAGACUCCUACGGGAGGCAGCAGUGGGGAAUAUUGGACAAUGGGCGAAAGCCUGAUCCAGCAAUGCCGCGUGAGUGAUGAAGGCCUUAGGGUUGUAAAGCUCUUUUACCCGGGAUGAUAAUGACAGUACCGGGAGAAUAAGCUCCGGCUAACUCCGUG
RNAcentral lists this ribosomal RNA (433 nucleotides) under uncultured bacterium. RNAcentral's name for it is "partial 16S ribosomal RNA". It matches the Rfam family "Bacterial small subunit ribosomal RNA", at positions 29 to 507 of the family's 1533-position model. The record is from RNAcentral.